Molecule: non-coding RNA, 80 nt
Organism: Podarcis lilfordi (Lilford's wall lizard)
Lineage: Eukaryota; Metazoa; Chordata; Lepidosauria; Squamata; Lacertidae
Source: the annotation of a GenBank genome assembly
GGCAGUGUGGUUCAAUGGUUAGAGUGCCGGACUAGGACACGGGAAAGAGCUGGGUUCGAAUCCCCGCGCCAACUCGGCCA